RNAcentral lists this ribosomal RNA (631 nucleotides) under uncultured bacterium. RNAcentral describes it as "bacterial SSU rRNA". It matches the Rfam family "Bacterial small subunit ribosomal RNA", at positions 8 to 635 of the family's 1533-position model. The record is from RNAcentral.
AGAGUUUGAUUAUGGCUCAGGAUGAACGCUGGCGGCGUGCUUAACACAUGCAAGUCGAACGGGGAUGCUUAUGGAAGGAGUGCUUGCACUUUGGAAAUGAGUAUCUUAGUGGCGGACGGGUGAGUAACGCGUGGGUAACCUGCCCCAUACCGGGGGAUACCACCUGGAAACAGGUGCUAAUACCGCAUAAGCGCACGGGAGCGCAUGCUCCUGUGUGAAAAACUCCGGUGGUAUGGGAUGGACCCGCGUCUGAUUAGCCAGUUGGCAGGGUAACGGCCUACCAAAGCGACGAUCAGUAGCCGGCCUGAGAGGGUGGACGGCCACAUUGGGACUGAGACACGGCCCAAACUCCUACGGGAGGCAGCAGUGGGGAAUAUUGCACAAUGGGGGAAACCCUGAUGCAGCGACGCCGCGUGAGUGAAGAAGUAUUUCGGUAUGUAAAGCUCUAUCAGCAGGAACGAGACAAGACGGUACCUGACUAAGAAGCCCCGGCUAACUACGUGCCAGCAGCCGCGGUAAUACGUAGGGGGCAAGCGUUAUCCGGAAUCACUGGGUGUAAAGGGAGCGUAAACGGCUGUGCAAGCCUGAAGUGAAAGGCGGGGGCCCCACCCCCGGACUGCUUUGGGAACUG